AACCCGAAGAUCGAAUGAGGAGACUCAUCGUCAGCGGAGUCGGCUUUCAUGCGGUUCGCGAUGUCUGAGACAGCGCACUCGUUGCGUUCGUUGAUUUCACGCGUCCGCUGUGGCAUGUGUCCGGCUACGUCGGCGUGCACUUCUCCUCUAGUAGAACGUCGCGACCCGCUGGGUGUCGGUUUAAGGACCGAGAUCGUCGACUGUUUCGUCGCUUCGGCGCACGAUAGCAGACGCUCGGCUUCCCGACCGGCUGCUCGGCGGUAUGCAUACAAGGUAUCGAGCCGCACUCGAAUGCGUUCAGACACGUCACAAGCUCGACCUGAUUUUUUCCGGAUGUGCGGACCUGGUGCCGUACCCGGGGUCGGUUGGCUGUUGGUUGGCGUUGUUCUCGAACCGGCUAAAAUUGUUGAACAACGAUACCGGUCUGCGGCGCUAUUGCUUUGGGUACUUUCAGGACCCGUCUUGAAACACGGACCAAGGAGUCUAACAUGUGCGCGAGUCAUUGGGAAUGAAAAACCUAAAGGCGUAUUGAAAGAGAAGAUCGACCUCGCGCCGAUCGAGGGAGGAUGGGCGGCGUUUAGAUGCCGCUCCGCACUCCCGGGGCGUCUCGUUGUCAUUGCGACUUGAGGCGCACCAAGAGCGUACACGUUGGGACCCGAAAGAUGGUGAACUAUGCCUGGUCAGGACGAAGUCAGGGGAAACCCUGAUGGAGGUCCGUAGCGAUUCUGACGUGCAAAUCGAUCGUCGGAACUGGG
This 755-nucleotide ribosomal RNA is filed under the name Paridris dnophos. Its description in RNAcentral is "eukaryotic LSU rRNA". It matches the Rfam family "Eukaryotic large subunit ribosomal RNA", at positions 512 to 915 of the family's 3401-position model. Lineage: Eukaryota; Metazoa; Arthropoda; Insecta; Hymenoptera; Scelionidae. The record is from RNAcentral.